GCUAAGCUAUGUGUGCUGAUGUGACUGGUAACCAGUAGUACAAGUUGUGUAGCAUAAAAGGGGCUGACACCGAGAAAUCGGGGAUCAUUUUUCCUUUUUUUUUCUCUUUUUGGAUGAUUCUCAGCUGCACACAGCACAUUCAGGGAAAUUCACUCACUGAAGAUAUCUUUACCAGCUGGUGCUGCAGACCAAACCAGCAACCAACUCACAAGUCAAGGGAAUCAUGAGGGUUCAGAGUGCCUGUUUGCUGCUGCUGCUGCUCUGUGCUGCUGUGCUCUCGCAAACUUACGAUGAUUUCAAAAGGAAACACAUCCUUCCAUCGUGUGACGACAUGAUGAAAAAUGUCAAUGGCAACAAUCAGUGCAAGCCAAUAAACACGUUUAUCAUGGAGGAGGCAGAAAAAGUUAAGGCUUUGUGUAAAGGUAAAAAAAAUGAAAACAUCGUCCACAAAUUUGAUGUUAUUGACUGUAAGAUGAAAAAUAAAAAGCCUUGUAAAUACAAGUCUCUAGCACUCAAAGGCAAGGAGAAGAAGAUAAAAUGUGAAAAUGGCCUACCUGUACAUCUUGGGCAAGGCAAAUAUGAAGAUUUUGAUUAUGACAUUGAAAAUUAAAGAUUGUUGAGGUUUUUUCAGUUUUCUUUGUAUUACUGUACGAUCUUUACCUUCCAGUAUAAAGUGCCUUGACGAACUGUUGUGAUUUGGCACUAUUUUAAAAAAACUGAAUUGAACUGAACAAAGACUCAGAAAAAUUUUACCUGUGCCGCAAACCUUUUAAUGUUGCCUUUGCUGAGUUUCGAUCAUUUGUUUUUGAUUGUUUCAUUGUUUAUUCAUGCAUUUUCGUACUUCUUUUUUGUAACUUUCAUGGGUCAAAAAAUGUUAAAAAUGUAUUUGCAAGUGAUGAAAUUUGCAAAUUAGUAUUUUUCAGUUUAAUCUGCAUAUUUCUGAAAAACAAUCCACUUUCAGAGUUUGCUUUAAAGUGCAAAAUUAGGAUUUCUGAGUGGUUUUCUCAUCGGUUCUCCUGAACGCUGUGUAUGUCUGGUCUGCAGCUACCUGAAAGGCUUGUUUGAAGUUGUUUUUUGAUCAUUCGAAAUCUGCUUGUGUGAUAAAUAAAGAGGCAGAAAAACCUUA
This is a long non-coding RNA of Oreochromis niloticus (Nile tilapia), 1126 nucleotides long. RefSeq lists it as uncharacterized. The transcript has 3 exons. NCBI's taxonomy places the organism in Eukaryota, Metazoa, Chordata, Actinopteri, Cichliformes, Cichlidae. The record is from RefSeq and is a predicted model, not a curated record.